Long non-coding RNA from Lepidothrix coronata (blue-crowned manakin), 364 nucleotides. RefSeq lists it as uncharacterized. The transcript is spliced from 3 exons. Lineage: Eukaryota; Metazoa; Chordata; Aves; Passeriformes; Pipridae. The record is from RefSeq and is a predicted model, not a curated record.
GACUCCUCGGCAACGGGCGCCGCCGCCUCGCGGUGCCCCCAGCGCUCCUGGGAGCUCUCCGCGCUCUCCAGGGACUCGGCGGAGCGCAGGGUCAUGGGCGGCGGCGGCGGCGGGCGCGGCCCCGCUCGCACGCAGAGACCAUUGAGAUAACAAAGGAUCAUUUCCUUUGGUUCAGUGGAUAGGUAAAUAACCAGCGACAAGCAUGGAACUGACCAGAAAAAGGUGGCAUUUAAGUCCAGCUCUCACCUCAUCAUGUGCUGCCUACUGUUUAAAACUAAAGGCCUCAACUGCAAUAGAAGCAGGCGUGGCAGGAGGGAGCGUGAGCUUUCCAGUGGAACACAUGACAGCAGGGACCUGCUCCAGG